Long non-coding RNA from Homarus americanus (American lobster), 248 nucleotides. RefSeq lists it as uncharacterized. The transcript is spliced from 2 exons. The record is from RefSeq and is a predicted model, not a curated record. Lineage: Eukaryota; Metazoa; Arthropoda; Malacostraca; Decapoda; Nephropidae.
UAUAUAUAUAUAUAUAUAUAUACCUGUAUAUAAAAUUUAGUUAUUCCUAAAAGUACUGAAAAAAUUUCCGUUUUCCCGUUUACAGAGGAACCUCCCCCGGAUCUUGUUGGACCAACCCCUCCUGAGACCGGUUACGGCGCCUCCACUACCGGUGCAGAUGGCCCCUCUGGACCCCCAGGAGACCGAGGUCCCAUUGGUACCCCAGGUACACCCGGUACCCCGGGUCAACCUGGACCACCAGGACAGAU